AUUGAACGCUGGCGGCAUGCCUUACACAUGCAAGUCGAACGGCAGCACGGGUGCUUGCACCUGGUGGCGAGUGGCGAACGGGUGAGUAUUACAUCGGAACGUACCUUAUCGUGGGGGAUAACGCAGCGAAAGUUGCGCUAAUACCGCAUACGCCCUGAGGGGGAAAGCGGGGGACCGUAAGGAAUCGCGCGAUUAGAGCGGCCGGUGUCUGAUUAGCUUGUUGGUGAGGUAAAAGCUCACCAAGGCGAUGAUCAGUAGCUGGUCUGAGAGGACGUUCAGGUACACUUGGACUGCGACACGGCCCAGACUCCUACGGGAGGCAGCAGUGGGGAAUUUUGGACAAUGGGGGCAACCCUGAUCCAGCAAUGCCGCGUGAGUGAAGAAGGCCUUCGGGUUGUAAAGCUCUUUUGUCAGGGAAGAAACAGCAGCUCUAACACACUGUGCGAAUGACGGUACCUGAAGAAUAAGCACCGGCUAACUACGUGCCAGCAGCCGCCGUAA
RNAcentral lists this ribosomal RNA (501 nucleotides) under uncultured bacterium. RNAcentral describes it as "partial 16S ribosomal RNA". It matches the Rfam family "Bacterial small subunit ribosomal RNA", at positions 30 to 523 of the family's 1533-position model. The record is from RNAcentral.